GAUGAACGCUGGCUACAGGCUUAACACAUGCAAGUCGAGGGGAAACGACGGGGAAGCUUGCUUCCCCGGGCGUCGACCGGCGCACGGGUGAGUAACGCGUAUCCAACCUGCCUCUGACUGAGGGAUAACCCGUCGAAAGUCGGCCUAAUACCUCAUGGCAUCGUCUGCGGGCAUCCAACGACGAUUAAAGAUUUCAUCGGUCAGAGAUGGGGAUGCGUCUGAUUAGCUUGUUGGCGGGGUAACGGCCCACCAAGGCGACGAUCAGUAGGGGUUCUGAGAGGAAGGUCCCCCACAUUGGAACUGAGACACGGUCCAAACUCCUACGGGAGGCAGCAGUGAGGAAUAUUGGUCAAUGGGCGAGAGCCUGAACCAGCCAAGUAGCGUGCAGGAUGACGGCCCUAUGGGUUGUAAACUGCUUUUAUGCGGGAAUAAAGUGAGGGACGUGUCCUUCAUUGCAGGUACCGCAUGAAUAAGGACCGGCUAAUUCCGUG
This 491-nucleotide ribosomal RNA is filed under the name uncultured bacterium. RNAcentral describes it as "partial 16S ribosomal RNA". It matches the Rfam family "Bacterial small subunit ribosomal RNA", at positions 28 to 507 of the family's 1533-position model. The record is from RNAcentral.